Molecule: long non-coding RNA, 348 nt
Organism: Eriocheir sinensis (Chinese mitten crab)
Lineage: Eukaryota; Metazoa; Arthropoda; Malacostraca; Decapoda; Varunidae
Exons: 3
Source: RefSeq, a predicted model, not a curated record
GGGGGUGGGCGGUCCUACAUGGGGUUGAAGGUUCUAGGGUUGAGUACGAGGUGGGGUUGUGUGGGGUUGGUGUGGGGGUUGUCCUAGGUGGGGUUGAAGGUUCUAGGGUUGAGGAUGAGGUGGGGUUGUGUGGGGUUGGUGUGGGGGUUGGGGGUGUCCUAGGUGGGGUUGAAGGUUCUAGGGUUGAGGAUGAGGUGGGGUUGUGUGGGGUUGGUGUGGGGGUUGGGGGUGUCCUAGGUGGGGUUGGUCCACAUGCUCCUGAAGUUGUAGGACUCCAGGAGGGACUGAAGGGCCCGGGAGGCGUCCUCACUCUGGAGGUCCUCAGGGGGGAGGUCCUGCGGGUGGUGG